UCCUACGGGAGGCAGCAGUGGGGAAUAUUGCACAAUGGGCGCAAGCCUGAUGCAGCCAUGCCGCGUGUAUGAAGAAGGCCUUCGGGUUGUAAAGUACUUUCAGCGGGGAGGAAGGGAGUAAAGUUAAUACCUUUACUCAUUGACGGACUUACAGAAGAGAAC
Molecule: ribosomal RNA, 162 nt
Filed under: uncultured Pseudomonadota bacterium
Lineage: Bacteria; Pseudomonadati; Pseudomonadota
Description: uncultured proteobacterium partial 16S ribosomal RNA
Rfam family: Bacterial small subunit ribosomal RNA
Source: RNAcentral